AUCUGGGAGUGAUGAAAAAUAUGUACAAGGUUCCGUAGGUGAACUGCGGAAGGAUCAUUA
RNAcentral lists this ribosomal RNA (60 nucleotides) under Globisporangium multisporum. RNAcentral describes it as "Pythium multisporum partial 18S ribosomal RNA". The record is from RNAcentral. Lineage: Eukaryota; Oomycota; Peronosporomycetes; Pythiales; Pythiaceae.